ACAGCUUUGAGGCCAUAGCAGAAGUGUUCAUGGCACAGUCUGUCAGAUUCCAACAAAUCUAUGAAUUCUGCU
This 72-nucleotide ribozyme is filed under the name Crocodylus porosus (Australian saltwater crocodile). RNAcentral describes it as "Mammalian CPEB3 ribozyme (ENSCPRG00005009541.1)". It matches the Rfam family "Mammalian CPEB3 ribozyme". Rfam says of the family: The mammalian CPEB3 ribozyme is a self cleaving RNA located in the second intron of the CPEB3 gene which belongs to a family of genes regulating messenger RNA polyadenylation. This ribozyme is highly conserved and found only in mammals. Lineage: Eukaryota; Metazoa; Chordata; Crocodylia; Crocodylidae. The record is from Rfam by way of RNAcentral.